RNAcentral lists this non-coding RNA (23 nucleotides) under Cricetulus griseus (Chinese hamster). Lineage: Eukaryota; Metazoa; Chordata; Mammalia; Rodentia; Cricetidae. The record is from RNAcentral. RNAcentral also lists the same sequence under 1 other name.
UUUGGCUAAGAUCAAGUGUAGUA